AUUGAACGCUGGCGGCAUGCCUUACACAUGCAAGUCGAACGGCAGCACGGGAGCAAUCCUGGUGGCGAGUGGCGAACGGGUGAGUAAUAUAUCGGAACGUGCCCAGUCGUGGGGGAUAACGUAGCGAAAGCUACGCUAAUACCGCAUACGAUCUAUGGAUGAAAGCGGGGGAUCGCAAGACCUCGCGCGAUUGGAGCGGCCGACAUCAGAUUAGGUAGUUGGUGAGGUAAAGGCUCACCAAGCCGACGAUCUGUAGCUGGUCUGAGAGGACGACCAGCCAAACUGGGACUGAGACACGGCCCAGACUCCUACGGGAGGCAGCAGUGGGGAAUUUUGGACAAUGGGCGCAAGCCUGAUCCAGCAAUGCCGCGUGCAGGAUGAAGGCCUUCGGGUUGUAAACUGCUUUUGUACGGAACGAAACGGCGAGCUCUAAUACAGUUUGCUAAUGACGGUACCGUAAGAAUAAGCACCGGCUAACUACGUGCCAGCCGCCGCGGUAA
This 500-nucleotide ribosomal RNA is filed under the name uncultured bacterium. Its description in RNAcentral is "partial 16S ribosomal RNA". It matches the Rfam family "Bacterial small subunit ribosomal RNA", at positions 30 to 523 of the family's 1533-position model. The record is from RNAcentral.